UACGUAGGGGGCUAGCGUUGUCCGGAAUCAUUGGGCGUAAAGAGCGUGUAGGCGGCCCGGUAAGUCCGCUGUAAAAGUCAAAGGCUCAACCUUUGAAUGUCAGUGGAUACUGCCGGGCUAGAGUCCGGAAGAGGCGAGUGGAAUUCCUGGUGUAGCGGUGAAAUGCGCAGAUAUCAGGAGGAACACCGGUGGCGAAGGCGGUUCUCUGGGCAUUACCUGACGCUGAGGAGCGAAAGUGUGGGGAGCGAACAGG
Molecule: ribosomal RNA, 253 nt
Filed under: uncultured bacterium
Lineage: Bacteria
Description: partial 16S ribosomal RNA
Rfam family: Bacterial small subunit ribosomal RNA
Source: RNAcentral